UACGGAGGAUGCAAGCGUUAUCCGGAUUCAUUGGGUUUAAAGGGUACGUAGGUGGCCAAUUAAGUCAGUGGUGAAAUCCUGCCGCUUAACGGUAGAACUGCCAUUGAAACUGGUUGGCUUGAGUACAGUUGAGGUAGGCGGAAUGUGUAGUGUAGCGGUGAAAUGCUUAGAUAUUACACAGAACCCCGAUUGCGAAGGCAGCUUACUAAACUGUAACUGACACUGAGGUACGAAAGCGUGGGGAGCGAACAGG
This 253-nucleotide ribosomal RNA is filed under the name uncultured bacterium. RNAcentral's name for it is "partial 16S ribosomal RNA". It matches the Rfam family "Bacterial small subunit ribosomal RNA", at positions 524 to 776 of the family's 1533-position model. The record is from RNAcentral.